This 253-nucleotide ribosomal RNA is filed under the name uncultured bacterium. Its description in RNAcentral is "partial 16S ribosomal RNA". It matches the Rfam family "Bacterial small subunit ribosomal RNA", at positions 524 to 776 of the family's 1533-position model. The record is from RNAcentral.
UACGGGGGGGGCAAGCGUUGUUCGGAAUUACUGGGCGUAAAGGGCGCGUAGGCGGCCUUCUAAGUCGGACGUGAAAUCCCUCGGCUUAACCGAGGAACUGCGUCCGAUACUGAAAGGCUUGAAUCCGGGAGAGGGAUGUGGAAUUCAAGGUGUAGCGGUGAAAUGCGUAGAUAUCUGGAGGAACACCGGUGGCGAAGGCGGCCUCCUGGACCGGUAUUGACGCUGAGGCGCGAAAGCUAGGGGAGCAAACGGG